RNAcentral lists this ribosomal RNA (464 nucleotides) under uncultured bacterium. RNAcentral describes it as "partial 16S ribosomal RNA". It matches the Rfam family "Bacterial small subunit ribosomal RNA", at positions 29 to 507 of the family's 1533-position model. The record is from RNAcentral.
ACGAACGCUGGCGGCGUGCUUAACACAUGCAAGUCGUACGGUAAGGCCCUUUCGGGGGUACCCGAGUGGCGAACGGGUGAGUAACACGUGAGUAACCUGCCCCCAACCUUGGGAUAACGCUAGGAAACUGGUGCUAAUACUGGAUAUGUGCUCCUGCUGCAUGGUGGGGGGUGGAAAGCUCCGGCGGUUGUGGGUGGGCUCGCGGCCUAUCAGCUUGUUGGGGGGGUCGUGGCCUACCAAGGCGGGGACGGGUAGCCGGCCUGGGGGGGUGAGCGGCCGCAUAGGGACCGAGGGACGGCCCAGACUCCUACGGGAGGCAGCAGGGGGGAAUCUUGAACAAGGGGCGCAAGCCUGAUGCAGAAACGCCUCGGGCGGGAUGACGGCCUUAGGGUUGUAAACCGAUUUCAGCAGGGACGAAGCUUUUUGUGACGGUACCUGCAGAAGAAGCACCGGCUAACUACGUG